GGACUACCGGGGUAUCUAAUCCUGUUUGCUCCCCACGCUUUCGUGCCUGAACGUCGGUGCUGGACCAGGAAGCCGCUUUCGCCACUGGUGUUCCUCCAGAUAUCUACGCAUUUCACCGCUACACCUGGAAUUCCGCUUCCCUCUUCCGCACCCUAGCAGAGCAGUCUCGAAUGCCAUUCCCAGGUUGAGCCCGGGGCUUUCACAUCCGACUUACGCUACCGUCUACGCACGCUUUACGCCCAGUAAUUCCGAUUAACGCUCGCACCCUCUGUAUUACCGCGGCUGCUGGCAC
Molecule: ribosomal RNA, 292 nt
Filed under: uncultured bacterium
Lineage: Bacteria
Description: partial 16S ribosomal RNA
Source: RNAcentral